UCAUGUUCUGAUGCCUUGAUGUAUUUUUUUGGUUUUUUUUUUUGGAUUUUAUCUCAGCUUGUAUAAAGUUGUGUUUGUUCCUGGAUCUGUAACACUUAACAAUCUGCUUUGACAUUCUGUGUGACAUUCUAUUUGACUAAUAGACAUUUAUUUUGUCUCUUUGAUCUCUUUUGGCCAAAAAGGGGGAGAAGUAGCUAAAGUAGCUAUGCUAUAUA
RNAcentral lists this long non-coding RNA (215 nucleotides) under Lathyrus oleraceus (garden pea). Its description in RNAcentral is "Pisum sativum (pea) long non-coding RNA (PSAT_LNC012734)". Lineage: Eukaryota; Viridiplantae; Streptophyta; Magnoliopsida; Fabales; Fabaceae. The record is from RNAcentral.